This 138-nucleotide small nucleolar RNA is filed under the name Ornithorhynchus anatinus (platypus). The record is from RNAcentral. Lineage: Eukaryota; Metazoa; Chordata; Mammalia; Monotremata; Ornithorhynchidae.
CCCCUCUCAGGAUCACAUCUGAAGAGUUUCCAGUACUCUACCAGUCUUGACUACAGGAGGGAGAAUCAAGCAGAGGCAUAUCCAUUCCAUUCCUAGUUUGGGCAGUGGCUAGCCAGUGGAAGGCAAUCUGCUACAAGU